GAUUAGAUAUAAAAUUGUUUAAUUUGUGUCAUUUUGCAAAUAUUCAAUGCAGUGAGGUUUUUUUUCAAAUAAAAGUAAUCAUGUGCCGGCGAAAAAAGAAAGAACAUUUAAUGGGAUAGUGUAUAUACAGCUUAUAACGUGGCGUGAUUAAUGACAACGUUGUCAUGGCAACAUUCAUUUGUAACGCAACUUAUUUAUUAUUUACAAAGGAGAAAAUGUGAUUACAUUUCAACACAGAGAAGGGAACAUUAUUAAUAUGCGCUCCCCAUGAUUUCAUGUGUUUAUUGUCUGCUUCAUAAGGAUGUUUUCCGGGCGCAGACUAAUUCCUGGAAAAGAUGGCGAAGGAAGGAAUGAAUAAUUGAAGAAGCAAUUAAGGCCUGCAGGAGAAGAAAAGACCGGCUCAUUAAAAAUUCAUGCGGCAAAUCCCGCGAGACUUGGCGAGGCACUCGAUCGCGGCCACGCCCACGCCGCCGGUGCACGUGAGCAGCCAAAAAAACCAAAAAACAUCUCAACAAGAUGGCGCUUGAGUUCGUUUAUUUUAAACCCUUUCAACUCUUUUUGGACGGCUUCUGGGCGUCAAAUGGACCAAGUGUGAGACCCCCGAGGACGACGAGCGGUCCAAAAGUGAAAAUUGAGGUCGAAGUGGAUGAGCGAAGCAGUGGAAUAUUGAACUGCUUCCUGUCUCGGCAAGAAACUCCUGCGUGUCAGGAAGUGCUCCUUCCUGUGUUAAAAGCCUCAUCUGUGGAAGGGUCCGUCCAUCCUGUGCAACGUGAGCCGUCUGCGUGUCAGAAGUUCCGAGCAAAGUGGUACUGAUCCGGGCCUGAGAGGGUCCGUGGCGGUGUCGCGUGACAGCCAGUGGGAGGUAAUGGCUCGUUAUCAUUCCACAAAUGUGCACUUAGUCUGAGUUAAGAUGUCAUAAGUGAUUGUAAUGUAAUGACACCCCGACUCCUCCUGUUGCUCCGCCCACUUCAAAUGAUUGCCAUAUGCUGCCCUGCUUGGCCACGCCCCCUUACCCUCUCACACAAAUAUAUAUUUUUUCUCUAAAUGUCAAAACCCUUUUUUUUUUUUUUUCAAAUGUCACCUCCUUAUUUGCCUCCUACAUGCUUCCUUGCCGUAUGUGUGUGUGUGUGUGUGUGUGUGUGUGUCUGUGCACGGGCGCUCACUUUGGGUGCGUGAAGUCGUCCACCAGCGACACCUUCUCCACCAGGUCCCCGGCGAUGGCGCGCACCAGCUCGUAGAAGUCGUUGGCGUCGAAGUGGCGCCCGUCCGCUGGCAGCCAGAAGGAGAUGUCGUUGAGCAGGGGCGGGUACUUGCUGAGGGCCUGACGGGCGCAAACAGGAAGUCGGGAACGAAGACGUAAUGCCACAAGAAUGACACUCAUCACGCCAUCAUGUGGACUCGAAGUCUCUGUCCUCAUCAAGUUUGUCCUCCACUUCUUGUUUCAAAGACAUGUGCCCUCCUCGCAGUCUCCACCCGCCCACCACGUCCCAGGGGUGACAUCAAACGCUGCUGCUGAGUGCCACCUUUGUCAUCCCUCCAUCCUGGGAAGGGGGGCGGAGCUAUGAGGACGAAAACGCUGACUCAGCAAGAAGAAGAAUUAAAAAAACAAAAACAAAAAAAAACAAAGAGAAGAGAAGAGAAGCAAAGCCCCGCAGGGGUGACGUCGGACGCCGUUUAAUGAGAGAAGGAUGGAGAGUUGAGCAGCUGCUGCUCCAUGACUCCACAGCCCAGCACCUCCAUCCAGUCGCCCUGGAAACGCACUUCCAUCUCAAAGGAAGGAUGAGUGAAGGGGAAGUAACAGUCCACCCAGCGCACCUCCACAUCUGAGGAGGAAGCGG
Nerophis lumbriciformis (worm pipefish) is the source of this 1838-nucleotide long non-coding RNA. RefSeq lists it as uncharacterized. NCBI's taxonomy places the organism in Eukaryota, Metazoa, Chordata, Actinopteri, Syngnathiformes, Syngnathidae. The record is from RefSeq and is a predicted model, not a curated record.